GACGAACGCUAGCGGCGUGCCUAAUGUAUGCAAGUCGAACGGCCCGCAAGGGCAGUGGCGAACGGUUGAGUAACACGUAGACAACCUGCCUCCAGGUGGGGGAUAACCGCGGGAAACUGCGGCUAAUACCGCAUGUGGUGGGGAGCGGCUUCGCUUUUUGACUAAAGGAGCAAUCCGCCUGGAGAUGGGUCUGCGGCCUAUCAGCUAGUUGGCGGGGUAACGGCCCACCAAGGCGACGACGGGUAGCUGGUCUGAGAGGAUGAUCAGCCAGACGGGG
RNAcentral lists this ribosomal RNA (277 nucleotides) under uncultured bacterium. Its description in RNAcentral is "partial 16S ribosomal RNA". It matches the Rfam family "Bacterial small subunit ribosomal RNA", at positions 28 to 317 of the family's 1533-position model. The record is from RNAcentral.